This 253-nucleotide ribosomal RNA is filed under the name uncultured bacterium. RNAcentral's name for it is "partial 16S ribosomal RNA". It matches the Rfam family "Bacterial small subunit ribosomal RNA", at positions 524 to 776 of the family's 1533-position model. The record is from RNAcentral.
UACGUAGGGGGCAAGCGUUGUCCGGAAUCAUUGGGCGUAAAGCGCGCGUAGGCGGCCCGGUAAGUCCGUUGUGAAAGUCAGAGGCUCAACCUCUGGAGGCCAAUGGAUACUGCCGGGCUAGAGUCCGGAAGAGGCGAGUGGAAUUCCUGGUGUAGCGGUGGAAUGCGCAGAUAUCAGGAGGAACACCAAUGGCGAAGGCAGCUCGCUGGGACGGUACUGACGCUGAGGAGCGAAAGCCAGGGGAGCAAACGGG